Molecule: transfer RNA, 71 nt
Filed under: Nacospatangus altus
Lineage: Eukaryota; Metazoa; Echinodermata; Echinoidea; Spatangoida; Maretiidae
Description: Nacospatangus alta tRNA-Tyr
Rfam family: tRNA
About the family: Transfer RNA (tRNA) molecules are approximately 80 nucleotides in length. Their secondary structure includes four short double-helical elements and three loops (D, anti-codon, and T loops).
Source: RNAcentral
AGUAAGGUGGCUGAGAGAAUAAGUAAUAGAUUGUAAAUCUACAAACAAAGGUUAAAAUCCUUUCCUUACUA